UGAGGAAUAUUGGUCAAUGGGUGCAAGCCUGAACCAGCCAUCCCGCGUGAAGGACGACUGCCCUAUGGGUUGUAAACUUCUUUUGUAUAGGGAUAAACCUACCCUCGUGAGGGUAGCUGAAGGUACUAUACGAAUAAGCACCGGCUAACUCCGUGCCAGCAGCCGCGGUAAUACGGAGGGUGCAAGCGUUAUCCGGAUUUAUUGGGUUUAAAGGGUCCGUAGGCGGACUUAUAAGUCAGUGGUGAAAGCCUGUCGCUUAACGAUAGAACUGCCAUUGAUACUGUAAGUCUUGAGUAUAUUUGAGGUAGCUGGAAUAAGUAGUGUAGCGGUGAAAUGCAUAGACAUUACUUAGAACACCAAUUGCGAAGGCAGGUUACCAAGAUAUAACUGACGCUGAGGGACGAAAGCGUGGGGAGCGAACA
RNAcentral lists this ribosomal RNA (422 nucleotides) under uncultured bacterium. RNAcentral's name for it is "bacterial SSU rRNA". It matches the Rfam family "Bacterial small subunit ribosomal RNA", at positions 355 to 774 of the family's 1533-position model. The record is from RNAcentral.